GACGAACGCUGGCGGCGUGCUUAACACAUGCAAGUCGAACGGAAAGGCCCUGCUUUUGUGGGUUGCUCGAGUGGCGAACGGGUGAGUAACACGUGAGUAACCUGCCCUUGACUUUGGGAUAACUUCAGGAAACUGGGGCUAAUACCGGAUAGGAGCUCCUGCUGCAUGGUGGGGGUUGGAAAGUUUCGGCGGUUGGGGAUGGACUCGCGGCUUAUCAGCUUGUUGGUGGGGUAGUGGCUUACCAAGGCUUUGACGGGUAGCCGGCCUGAGAGGGUGACCGGCCCCAUUGGGACUGAGAUACGGCCCAGACUCCUACGGGAGGCAGCAGUGGGGAAUAUUGCACAAUGGGACGAAGCCUGAUGCAGCAACGCCGCGUGCGGGAUGACGGCCUUCGGGUUGUAAACCGCUUUCGCCUGUGACGAAGCGUGAGUGACGGUAAUGGGUAAAGAAGCACCGGCUAACUACGUG
Molecule: ribosomal RNA, 468 nt
Filed under: uncultured bacterium
Lineage: Bacteria
Description: partial 16S ribosomal RNA
Rfam family: Bacterial small subunit ribosomal RNA
Source: RNAcentral